GCGUCUGCUUCAGCGGCACACAUGCUAAAAUUGGAACCAUACCGAGAAGAUUAGCAUGGCCCCUGCACAAAGAUGACUGGCAAAUUUGUGAAGCAUUCCAUUUAAAA
This 107-nucleotide small nuclear RNA is filed under the name Marmota marmota marmota (Alpine marmot). Lineage: Eukaryota; Metazoa; Chordata; Mammalia; Rodentia; Sciuridae. The record is from RNAcentral.